This 1306-nucleotide ribosomal RNA is filed under the name Ralstonia solanacearum. RNAcentral describes it as "bacterial SSU rRNA". It matches the Rfam family "Bacterial small subunit ribosomal RNA", at positions 67 to 1369 of the family's 1533-position model. The record is from RNAcentral. Lineage: Bacteria; Pseudomonadati; Pseudomonadota; Betaproteobacteria; Burkholderiales; Burkholderiaceae.
CGGGAACGGGGGGUGCUUGCUACCUGCCGGCGAGUGGCGAACGGGUGAGUAAUACAUCGGAACGUGCCCUGUAGUGGGGGAUAACUAGUCGAAAGACUAGCUAAUACCGCAUACGACCUGAGGGUGAAAGUGGGGGACCGCAAGGCCUCAUGCUAUAGGAGCGGCCGAUGUCUGAUUAGCUAGUUGGUGGGGUAAGGGCCCACCAAGGCGACGAUCAGUAGCUGGUCUGAGAGGACGAUCAGCCACACUGGGACUGAGACACGGCCCAGACUCCUACGGGAGGCAGCAGUGGGGAAUUUUGGACAAUGGGGGCAACCCUGAUCCAGCAAUGCCGCGUGUGUGAAGAAGGCCUUCGGGUUGUAAAGCACUUUUGUCCGGAAAGAAAUCGCACUGGUUAAUACCUGGUGUGGAUGACGGUACCGGAAGAAUAAGGACCGGCUAACUACGUGCCAGCAGCCGCGGUAAUACGUAGGGUCCAAGCGUUAAUCGGAAUUACUGGGCGUAAAGCGUGCGCAGGCGGUUGUGCAAGACCGAUGUGAAAUCCCCGGGCUUAACCUGGGAAUUGCAUUGGUGACUGCACGGCUAGAGUGUGUCAGAGGGAGGUAGAAUUCCACGUGUAGCAGUGAAAUGCGUAGAGAUGUGGAGGAAUACCGAUGGCGAAGGCAGCCUCCUGGGAUAACACUGACGCUCAUGCACGAAAGCGUGGGGAGCAAACAGGAUUAGAUACCCUGGUAGUCCACGCCCUAAACGAUGUCAACUAGUUGUUGGGGAUUCAUUUCCUUAGUAACGUAGCUAACGCGUGAAGUUGACCGCCUGGGGAGUACGGUCGCAAGAUUAAAACUCAAAGGAAUUGACGGGGACCCGCACAAGCGGUGGAUGAUGUGGAUUAAUUCGAUGCAACGCGAAAAACCUUACCUACCCUUGACAUGCCACUAACGAAGCAGAGAUGCAUUAGGUGCUCGAAAGAGAAAGUGGACACAGGUGCUGCAUGGCUGUCGUCAGCUCGUGUCGUGAGAUGUUGGGUUAAGUCCCGCAACGAGCGCAACCCUUGUCUCUAGUUGCUACGAAAGGGCACUCUAGAGAGACUGCCGGUGACAAACCGGAGGAAGGUGGGGAUGACGUCAAGUCCUCAUGGCCCUUAUGGGUAGGGCUUCACACGUCAUACAAUGGUGCAUACAGAGGGUUGCCAAGCCGCGAGGUGGAGCUAAUCCCAGAAAAUGCAUCGUAGUCCGGAUCGUAGUCUGCAACUCGACUACGUGAAGCUGGAAUCGCUAGUAAUCGCGGAUCAGCAUGCCGCCGAAUUCCC